UGAGGAAUAUUGGUCAAUGGGCGCGAGCCUGAACCAGCCAAGUAGCGUGAAGGAUGAAGGUCCUACGGAUUGUAAACUUCUUUUAUAAGGGAAUAAAGUCAUCUACGUGUAGGUGUUUGUAUGUACCUUAUGAAUAAGCAUCGGCUAACUCCGUGCCAGCAGCCGCGGUAAUACGGAGGAUGCGAGCGUUAUCCGGAUUUAUUGGGUUUAAAGGGAGCGUAGACGGGUCGUUAAGUCAGCUGUGAAAGUUUGGGGCUCAACCUUAAAAUUGCAGUUGAUACUGGCGUCCUUGAGUACGGUUGAGGCAGGCGGAAUUCGUGGUGUAGCGGUGAAAUGCUUAGAUAUCACGAAGAACCCCGAUUGCGAAGGCAGCCUGCUAAACCGCCACUGACGUUGAGGCUCGAAAGUGUGGGUAUCAAACAGGAUUAGAUACCCUGGUAGUCCACACGGUAAACGAUGGAUACUCGCUGUUGGCGAUAGACUGUCAGCGGCUUAGCGAAAGCGUUAAGUAUCCUACCUGGGGAGUACGCCGGCAACGGUGAAACUCAAAGGAAUUGACGGGGGCCCGCACAAGCGGAGGAACAUGUGGUUUAAUUCGAUGAUACGCGAGGAACCUUACCCGGGCUUGAAUUGCAGACGAAUUGCUUGGAAACAGGCAAGCCCCAAGGCGUCUGUGAAGGUGCUGCAUGGUUGUCGUCAGCUCGUGCCGUGAGGUGUCGGCUUAAGUGCCAUAACGAGCGCAACCCUCGUGUCCAGUUACUAGCAGGUUAUGCUGAGGACUCUGGACAGACUGCCAUCGUAAGAUGUGAGGAAGGUGGGGAUGACGUCAAAUCAGCACGGCCCUUACGUCCGGGGCUACACACGUGUUACAAUGGGGGGUACAGCAGGCAGCUACCGGGCGACCGGAUGCCAAUCCCCAAAGCCUCUCUCAGUUCGGACUGGAGUCUGCAACCCGACUCCACGAAGCUGGAUUCGCUAGUAAUCGCGCAUCAGCCACGGCGCGGUGAAUACGUUCCC
RNAcentral lists this ribosomal RNA (1017 nucleotides) under uncultured bacterium. RNAcentral's name for it is "bacterial SSU rRNA". It matches the Rfam family "Bacterial small subunit ribosomal RNA", at positions 355 to 1375 of the family's 1533-position model. The record is from RNAcentral.